This is a non-coding RNA of Mycena latifolia, 94 nucleotides long. The record is from the annotation of a GenBank genome assembly. Lineage: Eukaryota; Fungi; Basidiomycota; Agaricomycetes; Agaricales; Mycenaceae.
GGCACCAUAGUGUACGGAACACGUACCGGACUUCUAAUUGCGUUCUCAUCAAGUAUAUAUCCGGUGAGACGGGGUUCGACUCCCCGCGGUGCCU